UGCAGGCGAGCGGGGCGUGCGACUCGCCGAGAGCGAGACAGUUUGCGCCCGAGCAAGCACGCUCGUGCGCUCGGCCGCGCGGACGCUCCGCCCGGCGCCCUGCCGGCCGAGCGCCACCGAUCGAGACGCGCGCUGAAUGAUGCGUGGAGGGGAGGCGGCUGGUGCACCCCCGGUGGAAGAUCCGCGCGCCGGGCAUCCAGAGCUCCCGCGGAGCGGAGGCGGAGCGAGUUGUGCUCGCGCCACUCCCUCUCCUGCUCUCCCUCUGCGCUCCAGGUGCUCGCGGAAAUGCCGCGCAGCUUGACACCUCCGCCGGCCAUUGUGCUUGGAGCGCCAUGAGCGACAGGCGCAGACAUCACACCUCCCUGGUCUCUGUCUAACCGCGUCCUCUCCAUUUCCUUGAGACCGUGAGCCCUGAGCGUGCAGACACCACGCGACCACGGCGAGCACUCGUCGUCUCGUCAAGGUCAAGGUCAAGCACUCGUCGUCUCGCCUCUGUCUAAGCAUUGUCGUCACUCACCUUCCAGGAAGUUUCGCGGAGCCGGAGACUGCCUCUGCCGAUUGCGCAUUUUCUUUGCGUCUGCAGUCAGCCUCUCAUGUCUAGCAGUACACGCGUUCAUUGCAGUCAAAGGUCAAGCAGAAUCGACAACACCAUGGCCACCCAUGUCCCACAGAACACUGUACUGUGUGGCUAUCUGCUCCACCCACCUCUACCGCUACUUCAGGACAGGAUCGAGGCAGACAGUUUCUCGUGUGCUGCUCGCAGUUAAACAGCUGACAGGCAAUCUACUCUGCUUCAAUCCCAAGAAGGAGAGAGGUGGUGCAGAUAUGGCGCAGUGGAACGGCAUGGAGCAGGCAGCGACUAUCGCGCAGCUGGUGGGGGUGGAUGCGUUGGGGCUCAUCUCGACGAUUGUACAGGCAGCACAGACAGUUCAGCGCAACAAGGAGACCUGCCAGGAGCUUGUGCAGGAUGUGCAGUUGAUAAAUGGCCUGCUACGGAUGCUGCAAAACCCAGAAAUGAUUUAGCGAGAAGAGAUUGUAAAUGCACUCAAUGGGCUGGAGGGGACGCUCCGGGAGGCGUACAGCCUCGUCAGCUCCUGCCAGGACUGCAGCACCACAUAUCGCAUAUUCAUGGAAUGGAAACACACUGACCAGUUCCGACGCGUGAAGAAGAAGAUUGCCAAGCACCUCCGCUUCUACCCUAUGAUCUUCCAUGCUGACAUAACUUGUCGUCUCGAAAGAAUAAGCAACGGCACGCUGUCGACGUGCUCAUCUCAGGACGCAGGAGGAGUGCUGACAUCAUCUAUCAGUCACUCAAACUCUGAAGCUCAGUCAGAAUUCAUCAAUUUGGUCUACGUACUUACUUUGUUAGCAAGCACAAGGAAAUAGAGAUACUUAAUCUGUUGCUUGGUUACUGCAAGAAGUGGCCACAACAUUAUUUCCAAAACAUUUAGUUACAUACAUAAAAUAGUUACUUUUAUCUCUUAACCAUGAAUUUUCAGGACUGAAUGUAGUUUACGGCCUGUUGAAUUAGAAAGAUCGCAGGCAUGCAGGAGCGCUGAGUCCAUUGCUGUUGAGGAACACCAGCUAACAAGUUACCAGGAAAUUGCUGAACCUUUUGCUAGGAAGCAGAAGUUCCGGUGGGGUCACUGUUUGCCCUGGAAAAUGGUAGAAACAGCUCCUUGUAUUCAUGAACUCAACGGAUCAGGGUUUUCAGGUUUUCAUUUCUCCCAAUUGUUGGCUGCUACAAAUAAUUUUGCAUUCCAAUGCAAAAUUAGAAGUUGUGGAUACGCUGAUGUGUAUAAGGGACGAUUGGACAGUGGACUUGAAGUCAUGAUCAAAAGAUUUCAUCAAAAUAACUCCCAUUCUUCACUCACAUUUGAAAAUGAAGUCCGCUUUCAUGCAAAGCUUCUACACAAAAACGUUGCUAAGCUCAUUGGAUGUUGCAGUGAAAGAGGAGAAGCACUUUUAGUCUAUGAAUCUCUACCAAAUGGGAGUUUGUCUGACACGGUAACUGGAACAAGGGUGUCGCUCAACUGGUCUGAGCGCUUCAAAAUAAUUUUAGGGAUAGCCCGCGGGGUGGCCUAUCUACAUGAUUGCUGUGGGAUACAAAUUAUGCAUGGGGAUUUAAAUCCACAAAGGAUUCUCUUAGAUUCUUACAUGACUCCUAAGAUUACUGAUUUUGCUUUUGCAAAAGUGUGUAGUCCGGAUGGGCGUGAACGACACAAGGGUAGUUUACUCGGUACAAGGGGUUAUAUGGAUCCUGGAUAUGUUAUUGACCGUAUCUACUCAGUUAAGAGUGACGUGUAUAGCUUCGGUAUCACUCUUCUUGAGAUAAUUACUGCAAAGAGGCCCGAUGCACUUUUCAAGGAUGCAGGUGAUCUUGUCAGAUUGCCGACAAUGGCAGGAUCAAUGGAGAUGUACCACAUGAUAGAUCCAGCAUUGCAUGGUGAAUCAAAAAUGGCCGAGAUAAUGAGAUGCAUUCAGAUCGCGGUAUGGUGCUCCAGGCCCAAUGCGGGAGACCGGCCCAGCAUGUGGGAUGUUCUUCUGAUGCUCAGCUGCGAGAGUGCAACCUUACGUGUGCCGGAGCCAUCCCAGAGCCAGUGCGACACACAGGAGCCGUGUGAAGGGGUGCUAUCGGAUUCGGAGAUAACUGAACCAAGAUAGUACUCCUUUGGGCGAUUCAAGGCCACAGAUUUCAUCGGGAUCUACAUGGCGCCCAGAGGAUAUUUAAUCGACGCCAUCAUGUGUAUCAAACUUGAGUAUGGAGUAAUGAAAAACUGGAUGGGUGAUCCAUGUUUCCCAACCAAAUAUGCAUGGGACGGCGUGAAAUGUAGCAGCACAACUGGUAACGCUACGAGGAUAAUAUCUCUAAAUUUGUCAGUCAACCGUCUGAAUGGCUCGCUUCCAGAUUCCCUCUGUAAAAAUAAUGCAGGAUCUUACGUUUUCAGGUUUGGGUUUUCCUGUUAACCUUUUUUUCUAUUAAUAUGCGUCCAAAUGUGAAAUGUGGAGUGUUCUUCUUUCUGCGAUCUUACACAUGUACGGAUGUAACAAAUUUAAGAUUGUCUUCCACACCAAAUACUCUGAACUGAUUGUAGUAAGUAAUUUAAGGUAUGAAUCUGAUCAAGACAUGUGCAACCAAACAAUUAGCCCGUCUUCAUCGAGAAAUAGAACAUCUAUCAUAUCUAUUUCAGUAUUGGUUCCUGCACUGGUAGUGGCUGUACUUGUCAUUUCAUAUCUGGUCUGGAGGCAGAAAAGAAAGCCUAACAGUGAGUGUGCUCUUAUGGUCUUAUCUUCUAUAACAUGUAUCAAUGGGGAUUAUCAUGGUUUACCAUAUUUAGUAUUUAUGUUAUAUCUAUCAUUUGCACGACCAGUUUCUACUCGUGAUCCUGCCACAGGCAGAACUUGUGGGAGCUCCAGUUAGUAGGAAAGGUCACAGGGAGCACCUGGAAAAUACUGAGAAUCGCCGAUUCACAUACAAGGAGUUGGAGAAGUUUACAAAUAAGUUUGAAAGGUUCAUUGGACAAGGAGGUUUUGGGCUUGUAUACUAUGGUCGUUUAGAAGACAAUACUGAGGUUGCUGUCAAGAACUCAAGAUGCGUUGAAAGGUUCAUUGGACAAGGAGGUCUUGGGCUUGUAUACUAUGGUCGUUUAGAAGACAAUACUGAGGUUGCUGUCAAGAUGUGUUCCGAGUCCUCGUCACAUGGACCCGAUGAGUUCUUAGCUGAGGUUCAGAGCUUGACAAAGGUGUAUCACAGGAAUCUAGUAUCAUUGGUUGGUUUCUGCUGGGAGAAAGAUCAUUUGGCACUGGUUUAUGAGUACAUGUCUCAAGGCAAUCUUUAUGAUCAUCUGAGAGGUUUGUCCAUUGCAAACGUAACCACUGAUUACGUGAUUAAGAGAGAACAACUGUGUAGCGGUCUCAGAUCGCAUACAAUUUCUGUGCAUUGUUCAAGACAUUGUCUCAAUUCCGAAGUAGUUUUCGGCUAUCUACGUCUCU
Molecule: RNA transcript, 3993 nt
Organism: Triticum aestivum (bread wheat)
Lineage: Eukaryota; Viridiplantae; Streptophyta; Magnoliopsida; Poales; Poaceae
Gene name: cysteine-rich receptor-like protein kinase 25
Exons: 12
Source: RefSeq, a predicted model, not a curated record